GUGCUGUAUUCAGCUGACAUGAUGAUGCUGCUCAUCUUCAUCUCCAGCUGUGUGGGUGGAGCAGCAGCAGAGGUGGAGGCUGAGGAUGGUGUGGAUGAUCAGUCUGUGUUUCUCAGUGUGAUGCAGAGCUGCUUCUUACUGAACUCGACCCUGCAGAGCACUGAGGGCGUCCUGUCCAGCUUCAGGACCACCUGGCAGGAGUUGGUGGAGGACCUGGGUUUCUGCUGGUCAUCGCCCUCCUCUCCCUGGGCCUCGCCUACUACGUCAGCAGAGUCCUGCCUUUCUCAGGGUGGAGAGGAGGCAGGAAAAUAAAUUAAGCUCUUUAUCUAGAACAAAAACUCUGUCUGUGUGUCUCAGUACGAUGGAGAGCUGCUCCUUACUGAACCCGACCCUGCAGAGGACUGAGGGCGUCCUGUCCAGCUUCAGGACCACCUGGCAGGAGUUUGUGGAGGACCUGGGCUUCUGGAGGGUCCUGCUGCUGUUGGUGGUCAUCGCCCUCCUCUCCCUGGGCAUCGCCUACCACGUCAGCAGAGUCCUGCCUUUCUCAGGGUGGAGAGGAGGCAGGAAAAUAGAUGAAGAUCUUUAUCUAGAACAAAAACUCUGGUAUUUAUUUGUUGUGCAAAUCUGAUCAUUUUAUUGGAAUAUGAACAUCAUGUGAUGCUGCCAGCGCAAAGAAGAGAGGACGGUGACUCGGAGACACCGACAGCUUCAUGUGUGACCUAACACCUUUACAACCACUCACUGAUAAAGUCAUUUCCUCUUCCUCACACUUGUCAUGUCAUCCCCGUUUGCUCUGUUACAAGGUGUAUAUUACUGAUGUUUUGUAUCUUUUCAUUGUUUUCUCCUCGCUUUUUAUGGAUUCAAAUGUUCUUUUAGAAUGAAUUUUUCCCCCCGCUGUCUUUAUUUCACACAAAUACCUGCAGCCUUUCUGACUGGAAACAGUUUUGUCAGGAUAUCUUGAUGUUCUCUGUUCAAAGGUUUUCAGUGUUUAUUCCAUCAAACAUUUCAAGUCAUUUAAUGUGCAAAUUGAAUAAAAUCAUGAAUGACUGUAAUCAUCAUCAGGUCACUUUAUUAUCCACUCAAAACUUUAUUGGCACACAGCAGCUUCCCUGAGCGUUUUACAAAAAGCAAAGUAAACAUAGUGAAGACUGUAAAUCUGUACAAACAGGCAGGACAAUAUACAAACUUUGUUACUGAAGAGAUCUCAUUCAUCCAUCUUGAAGCUAAAUUAUAUGCCGAUUAUGUAAGCAGAUGAUUUACAGGCAUUACUUGAUUGAUUGGAAGACAAAAUAAUAGAGACAAUCUCAAACAUUGUAACAGCAGUCAGAUUCAGCAGAAGGAAAACGGGGGAUUUCUAAACCUGAGAAAGUGGAGUUGCACAGUGGUACCGUCAUAAAGGUG
RNAcentral lists this long non-coding RNA (1401 nucleotides) under Oreochromis niloticus (Nile tilapia). RNAcentral's name for it is "lncRNA (ENSONIG00000033643.1)". Lineage: Eukaryota; Metazoa; Chordata; Actinopteri; Cichliformes; Cichlidae. The record is from RNAcentral.